Molecule: long non-coding RNA, 333 nt
Filed under: Nicotiana benthamiana
Lineage: Eukaryota; Viridiplantae; Streptophyta; Magnoliopsida; Solanales; Solanaceae
Description: long non-coding RNA (NBEN_LNC023857)
Source: RNAcentral
GCAAUGAAGGAUUUCGGCCCACGAAAAUCUGCCAUUCAGAUUUGUCAAUCUUUCCGUCCUGAUUUGUGUCUGCCUCAACAAAAGUCUACAUGUAGAGGCAAGACUCUAUGGUUAUUCAGAAUUCCAUGAGAUCGAUAACAACAGAAACUAGUCCUGUGAAUGAAAACUGCCCUUAUUUUAAUCUUGAAACUACCAAUCUCUCAGUGACAUAGAGGCAAGAAUCUACGGUUAUUCAGAAUUCCAUGAGAUCGAUAAAAACAAGAAACUAGUCCUGUGAAACUGCCCUUAUUUUAAUCUUGAAGCUACCAAUCUCUCAGUGACACAAAAUGCAUU